AUUGAACGCUGGCGGCAGGCCUAACACAUGCAAGUCGAGCGAGCGGCGGACGGGUGUGUAAUGUCUGGGAAACUGCCUGAUGGAGGGGGAUAACUACUGGAAACGGUAGCUAAUACCGCAUACCAUCAGAUGUGCCCAGAUGGGAUUAGCUAGUAGGUGGGGUAACGGCUCACCUAGGCGACUAUCCCUAGCUGGUCUGAGAGGAUGACCAGCCACACUUGGAGGAAGACACGGUCCAUACUCCUACGGUAGGCAGCAGGGGGGAAUAUUGCACAAGGGGCACAAGCCUGAUGCGGCCAUGCCGCGUAUGUGAAGAAGGCCUGCGGGUUGUAAAGCACUUUCAGCGGGGAGGCGUUACCCGCAGAAGAAGCACCGGCUAACUCCGUGCCAGCAGCCGCGGUAAUAC
This 406-nucleotide ribosomal RNA is filed under the name uncultured bacterium. RNAcentral describes it as "partial 16S ribosomal RNA". It matches the Rfam family "Bacterial small subunit ribosomal RNA", at positions 30 to 526 of the family's 1533-position model. The record is from RNAcentral.